AGAGUUUGAUCCUGGCUCAGGACGAACGCUGGCGGCGUGCUUAACACAUGCAAGUCGAACGCUGAAGCCCAGCUUGCUGGGUGGAUGAGUGGCGAACGGGUGAGUAACACGUGAGUAACCUGCCCCUUCUUUGGGAUAACGCCCGGAAACGGGUGCUAAUACUGGAUAUUCACUGGCCUUCGCAUGGGGGUUGGUGGAAAGGUUUUUUCUGGUGGGGGAUGGGCUCGCGGCCUAUCAGCUUGUUGGUGGGGUGAUGGCCUACCAAGGCUUUGACGGGUAGCCGGCCUGAGAGGGUGACCGGUCACAUUGGGACUGAGAUACGGCCCAGACUCCUACGGGAGGCAGCAGUGGGGAAUAUUGCACAAUGGGCGAAAGCCUGAUGCAGCGACGCCGCGUGAGGGAUGACGGCCUUCGGGUUGUAAACCUCUUUCGCUCAUGGUCAAGCCGCGACAUUGGUUGUGGUGAGGGUAGUGGGUAAAGAAGCGCCGGCUAACUACGUG
Molecule: ribosomal RNA, 500 nt
Filed under: uncultured Actinomyces sp.
Lineage: Bacteria; Bacillati; Actinomycetota; Actinomycetes; Actinomycetales; Actinomycetaceae
Description: bacterial SSU rRNA
Rfam family: Bacterial small subunit ribosomal RNA
Source: RNAcentral